This 449-nucleotide ribosomal RNA is filed under the name uncultured bacterium. RNAcentral describes it as "partial 16S ribosomal RNA". It matches the Rfam family "Bacterial small subunit ribosomal RNA", at positions 29 to 523 of the family's 1533-position model. The record is from RNAcentral.
AACGAACGCUGGCGGCAGGCUUAACACAUGCAAGUCGAACGAGAUCUUCGGAUCUAGUGGCAGACGGGUGAGGAACACGUGGGAACAUUCCUUUCAGUUCGGAAUAACGUUGGGAAACUAACGCUAAUACCGGAUACGUCCUUCGGGAGAAAGAUUUAUCGCUGAGAGAUUGGCCCGCGUCUGAUUAGCUAGUUGGCGAGGUAACGGCUCACCAAGGCUACGAUCAGUAGCUGAUCUGAGAGGAUGAUCAGCCACAUUGGGACUGAGACACGGCCCAAACUCCUACGGGAGGCAGCAGUGGGGAAUAUUGGACAAUGGGCGCAAGCCUGAUCCAGCCAUGCCGCGUGAGUGAUGAAGGCCUUCGGGUUGUAAAGCUCUUUUGUCCGGGAAGAUAAUGACGGUACCUUACCAGAAAGCCACGGCUAACUAUGUGCCAGCCGCCGCCGUAA